This 29-nucleotide non-coding RNA is filed under the name Homo sapiens (human). Lineage: Eukaryota; Metazoa; Chordata; Mammalia; Primates; Hominidae. The record is from RNAcentral.
UGCAAACGGUGUGAAAAACUACAGCCAAG